UUUUAUUUGAUUCUUAAUGUAGAAAUUUGAUUAGAUACAUACCUAUGAACGUCACUUGCGACUUUGUCUUGCAGGCACAAAAUAGUGAAUUCAACUAAAGCAAGGCUAAAGCUAUUGAAAUGAAGUUCCGGUUUGGGAAUCAGUGAUGAAAAUUGCAUGCGAAUGGAUUAUCACUUCAGGAACCAGUCUCUAGCUACUAGAAGUAACAAUAUAGUAUGGGGCAAGACAAUGAGAUGAGAUAUGGUCAAUGCAUCUCAUUACCCAAUUAAAAUAUUUUGAGGUAAAAAUAGUAACAAUUUUUAUACCUGCCUCAAUGGAUACAGACACAAGCUACGAAAAUCUUUUUAAUAUAAAUAAAUCCUCAUAAAAAAGAAA
Molecule: long non-coding RNA, 375 nt
Organism: Cydia pomonella (codling moth)
Lineage: Eukaryota; Metazoa; Arthropoda; Insecta; Lepidoptera; Tortricidae
Exons: 2
Source: RefSeq, a predicted model, not a curated record